UAAUGACAAAGGCAUUAUAUUAAUUAGCUUUUAGGGCACAGAAAGCAACUGUUUUCACGUUGUUACACUCUUUAAUGUACCAACCAAUACAUUCAUUCUUGUAAACAUACAUUAGGUAUAAAUAUAACAAUAUAUAUAACUUUGUUCAUGGAACAAAUCUUGUAAAAAAAUCCCUGGUAGUUUAAUUUCAAAUUCCAACUUGACUUUAGUCAUGGUAAUAAUAAGUAUCAAAUGUAUAUUCAAAUUUGUUGAACACAAUUAAAAAAUGAAAUUCAUCAGCAAAACUGAGCAAAAAUUUAUUUUUCUACACAACCUAUCGGCAUGGUUUUGCCAUAAAAUUUCUAUUUUAAUAACUUUAAAUAUUGUGAUAAAUGUUUGUUUUUUAACACUGUAAACUAUAUAGAAAAUUACCAGGUUGGGACAAAAAUAUGUUUACCUAGAAAGCCCUCUAUUUUAUGAAACACUCAUUAGGCUAAUUGCUAAUUAUUGAUGCACCAAUUCCAAAAUUAAGUCAAUAAUACAAUUAUAUUCAACUGCCAUGUCUAUCAAAUAAUUCAUAUUCUUAUCACUAGGUUAUUUACCUUACUGUUGGCUUCUGAAAUGUGUGUAAUCUUCUAAAAAAACUUGUGAUUUGGUCUUACCUUGGACCUACAAUAACCACAAACAAUAUAGAUCCAGGUGACACUUGUGCUUUCAGAUAUCCCUGUCUUCAAUGUUGUAAGAUGUGAUCAAAAUGCUUUUAUCUGUCCAGGUAUUACUUCUUUAUUUAUCCAACUUUCAAUGCAAUUUAUAUGAAUGUAAUUUUAGCUUUCAGCAUACAAAAGCAAUCUUAUUAUAUUAAUAUAUGAAGUAGUACAUCAUGUCCAUGUGGCCUAUUAUAAAAGUAUUUUUAAGAAUUCUACCUUAAGAACAGUAAAGCAGAAUCCUAAUCAAAUUUGAAAUAUGUGUUAUUACACUAUAUACUGGAUAAUUUGACAUUUCUUGAAUUGAGUUUUUACAAGCAGUUGGAGAACCUAAUCUGAUGACUUCCUUAAUUCCCAUUUGAGAAUUAUAAAAACUGCUAAUUAUAAAAACUGCUAACUACAUACGACUAAAAUGAAUAACGACAGAAGAUGUAUAAAUUUGACCAAUUCCAUACUGCAGUGAAAUUGGUUGCAGAAAUCUAACAAAUACUAAAAUGGUUUUCCUACUUCAAUCUCAAUCAAAAGAAACCUUAUUAUGGGACAAGAGGAAAUUAUAAGUCCAAGAGUGUGAAAUAAAUCUUACAACAAACAUGUGGACAAAGUUACAUACCUAAUACUUUAGACCUGACUGUUGAUCCUGUAUACAAGAGAAUAUCUACCUGGUACUUACCUGUUUUAUGUUAAUUAUCUCAAGUCAUGCAGCUUACCUGUACAAACAUACUUCAUCCUUAUUCAGUCUAAGUCAGCUAAGGUAAUCAAUAGUCUUGACAUUGUAAAAUGUGUUCAAUAUCAUAAAUUUACUUUAACUGGGUGUUCAUUGAGCAGUUAUUCUGACUACUAUAUUUAUGUUAAUGAGUCAUUAUGAAAUUCAUUUCAGUCAUUACAAAAGUUAUUGCUGUCUUUAAGGUAUCCUAAUUUUGUGAAUGGUUUAUACUGUACAACAAUAUAAUUCAUAAUAUAAACAUGUUAUAAAUCACUCCAGACGGACAUAAAGAGUAUUCAUGAUUGAUUGAUAAAAUCAGUCUGAACUGACCAUUAUGAAGGAAUGAAAAUUCUUGGCUUUUGAUACAUCAUGUACAUUUUAAGACAUUCCUUUCAUCCCUCACACACAAUGAAACAUAAAAAACACAAAAAAAUCAAAAGAUGUAGUCUAAUGAAGAUUUUUUUUUAUGAAAAUUCAUAAAUUAAAUGAUAAAAAUUCUUUCACAUCCUUCAUAUUUUCUCACUCUCUCUCUCUAUCUUCCCAAUUAUUGAACACCAUUUUCCAUGAACAAUCUGCACACAGAAUUUCUUCACAUCCUCUAUUGGGUCAAUCAUUUAUCACAUGGCAGUAACAGCACACAGGAUUUCAAUGCUAAAUUAAAUUAUAUAUUAUUUCCCUCCUAGACUAAAUGACAAUUUCGGUCUAGCAUUUUUCUUAUUGAGAAUCACUUCUUGUUCAGAUCUUUUUCUCUUCUGGUCUUCGUCUUCCAUUCGUUGUUUUUGUUCUAACAUUUUCCUCUGUUCUUCAACAAGUUUCAAUUGUUCUUCAGC
Molecule: long non-coding RNA, 2216 nt
Filed under: Mytilus galloprovincialis (Mediterranean mussel)
Lineage: Eukaryota; Metazoa; Mollusca; Bivalvia; Mytilida; Mytilidae
Source: RNAcentral